AAACUCUACAAUGCAGGCAACUGCGAUAGGGGAACAUCGAGUGGUUUCCAUAUUGGAAAUCUGUCCUCCCGUCUAAAAAACGGGAGUUAGCAAGGGCCGGGCAAGACCGGUGCCAGCCGCCGCGGUAAUACCGGCGGCUCGAGUGGUGGCCGAUAUUAUUGAGUCUAAAGGGUCCGUAGCCGGCUUUGCAAGUCCUUUGGGAAAUCCAGCGGCUUAACCGUUGGGCGGCCAAGGGAUACUACAUUGCUUGGGACUGGGAGAGGUAGGAGGUACUCAGGGGGUAGGAGUGAAAUCCUGUAAUCCUUUGGGGACCACCGGUGGCGAAGGCGUCCUACCAGAACAGGUCCGACGGUGAGGGACGAAAGCUAGGGGCACGAACCGG
This 382-nucleotide ribosomal RNA is filed under the name uncultured archaeon. Its description in RNAcentral is "bacterial SSU rRNA". It matches the Rfam family "Archaeal small subunit ribosomal RNA", at positions 345 to 727 of the family's 1478-position model. The record is from RNAcentral.